RNAcentral lists this small nuclear RNA (103 nucleotides) under Dasypus novemcinctus (nine-banded armadillo). The record is from RNAcentral. Lineage: Eukaryota; Metazoa; Chordata; Mammalia; Cingulata; Dasypodidae.
AUGCUUUAGCAGCAUGUAUACUAAAAUUAGAACAAUACAGAGAAGAUUAGCAUGGCCCCUGCACAAGAAUGACAUGGAAAUUCAUGAAGUAUUCCACAUUUUU